CGAACGAUGAUGCUGGUGCUUGCACCGGUGGAUUAGUGGCGAACGGGUGAGUAACACGUGAGUAACCUGCCCCUGACUUCGGGAUAAGCCCGGGAAACUGGGUCUAAUACCGGAUAUGACUUCCUGCUGCAUGGCAGGGGGUGGAAAGAUUUAUCGGUUGGGGAUGGACUCGCGGCCUAUCAGCUUGUUGGUGAGGUAAUGGCUCACCAAGGCGACGACGGGUAGCCGGCCUGAGAGGGUGACCGGCCACACUGGGACUGAGACACGGCCCAGACUCCUACGGGAGGCAGCAGUGGGGAAUAUUGCACAAUGGGCGAAAGCCUGAUGCAGCGACGCCGCGUGAGGGAUGACGGCCUUCGGGUUGUAAACCUCUUUCAGUAGGGAAGAAGCCCCUUUUGGGGUGACAGUACUUGCAGAAGAAACG
This 424-nucleotide ribosomal RNA is filed under the name Arthrobacter sp. Its description in RNAcentral is "bacterial SSU rRNA". It matches the Rfam family "Bacterial small subunit ribosomal RNA", at positions 63 to 492 of the family's 1533-position model. Lineage: Bacteria; Bacillati; Actinomycetota; Actinomycetes; Micrococcales; Micrococcaceae. The record is from RNAcentral.